UAAUUUUAUUGCAUUUCUACUUUUUGGCACCAGCUAGGGGCAGGUUUAUUUGGAAGGAAUAUUGUAACUAGGAACUUUUAAUAGAAUGGCUAUAUGUUAUGAAAUUGUUUUUCUUCUUUGCCUUUGGUGCUAACACUUUUUGUCAUGAACAAAGCAUAAAAUACUUGUAUUAUUUAUUAAGGUGGUACCCAACACUUUCACUAAAAUUAAUUUGGCCCGUUUAAUUUUCAUAAAAUUUUGUCAAAGUAUUUACUUUUACCUAACAAAAAUAUAAAAAUUUCAAAAAGUUUUAACCAACCGUUUUGUCAGAAAAAUUACACUGGUUAUAUAGUAGUUUGACAAACACCUAUUUUGAUCAUUGAGAAGCUUAAUAUUCCUUUUACAACACAACGUAAUUAAAACGUUUAGCUGACUUUACAGAGUUAUCUCCCUGUAGUGUUAGGUACCACCUUAAGGGUAGAAAUGUGUGCUUGGGUUUUAACCAUUAAAACUUGCAGACUUAUAAUGUUGGGAUUUAAUUUGUUGUUCAUUCACUGGGAAAUAUCAGGUCCUCAUUAUUACACUCUUCCGGAAAUAUUCUUUUUUACAAACGAUGUUUUACAAUCAAAAUUCUGCAAGUUUCUGUGAUUUUGAUUUGACUUGCAAUUAUUGGUUCAUUAGAUUUUUAAGAAAUUUUCUAUUUUCCUAAGUUCUGAUUCUAUUUCUAGAAUUUAUCAUUUGUCACACACUUAAACGUUCAUUUCUCCCCAUUCAUCUGUAUAUUUCCUGCUUAAGAUCAUUCAACAUAAUUUCCCUGUCUUCAAUUCUCUAUGAUAUUGCUGUAUUAUACAUUAUUGAAAAAAAAAGACAUCAUAUAUUAUAUUUUCUAUGAAAGAUAAUCAAACAUAAUUUUCCCGCCAAUUUUUUUCUUCAACCACAAUCAUACAGACUGGUCUACAAUUUUCUAU
This 947-nucleotide long non-coding RNA is filed under the name Mytilus galloprovincialis (Mediterranean mussel). The record is from RNAcentral. Lineage: Eukaryota; Metazoa; Mollusca; Bivalvia; Mytilida; Mytilidae.